GAUGAACGCUGGCGGCGUGCCUAAUACAUGCAAGUCGAGCGAACGGACGAGAAGCUUGCUUCUCUGAUGUUAGCGGCGGACGGGUGAGUAACACGUGGAUAACCUACCUAUAAGACUGGGAUAACUUCGGGAAACCGGAGCUAAUACCGGAUAAUAUUUUGAACCGCAUGGUUCAAAAGUGAAAGACGGUCUUGCUGUCACUUAUAGAUGGAUCCGCGCUGCAUUAGCUAGUUGGUAAGGUAACGGCUUACCAAGGCAACGAUGCACAGCCGACCUGAGAGGGUGAUCGGCCACACUGGAACUGAGACACGGUCCAGACUCCUACGGGAGGCAGCAGUAGGGAAUCUUCCGCAAUGGGCGAAAGCCUGACGGAGCAACGCCGCGUGAGUGAUGAAGGUCUUCGGAUCGUAAAACUCUGUUAUUAGGGAAGAACAUAUGUGUAAGUAACUGUGCACAUCUUGACGGUACCUAAUCAGAAAGCCACGGCUAACUACGUGCCAGCAGCCGCGGUAAUACGUAGGUGGCAAGCGUUAUCCGGAAUUAUUGGGCGUAAAGCGCGCGUAGGCGGUUUUUUAAGUCUGAUGUGAAAGCCCACGGCUCAACCGUGGAGGGUCAUUGGAAACUGGAAAACUUGAGUGCAGAAGAGGAAAGUGGAAUUCCAUGUGUAGCGGUGAAAUGCGCAGAGAUAUGGAGGAACACCAGUGGCGAAGGCGACUUUCUGGUCUGUAACUGACGCUGAUGUGCGAAAGCGUGGGGAUCAAACAGGAUUAGAUACCCUGGUAGUCCACGCCGUGAACGAUGAGUGCUAAGUGUUAGGGGGUUUCCGCCCCUUAGUGCUGCAGCUAACGCAUUAAGCACUCCGCCUGGGGAGUACGACCGCAAGGUUGAAACUCAAAGGAAUUGACGGGGACCCGCACAAGCGGUGGAGCAUGUGGUUUAAUUCGAAGCAACGCGAAGAACCUUACCAAAUCUUGACAUCCUUUGACAACUCUAGAGAUAGAGCUUUCCCCUUCGGGGGACAAAGUGACAGGUGGUGCAUGGUUGUCGUCAGCUCGUGUCGUGAGAUGUUGGGUUAAGUCCCGCAACGAGCGCAACCCUUAAGCUUAGUUGCCAUCAUUAAGUUGGGCACUCUAAGUUGACUGCCGGUGACAAACCGGAGGAAGGUGGGGAUGACGUCAAAUCAUCAUGCCCCUUAUGAUUUGGGCUACACACGUGCUACAAUGGACAAUACAAUGGGCAGCGAAACCGCGAGGUCAAGCAAAUCCCAUAAAGUUGUUCUCAGUUCGGAUUGUAGUCUGCAACUCGACUACAUGAAGCUGGAAUCGCUAGUAAUCGUAGAUCAGCAUGCUACGGUGAAUACGUUCCCGGGUCU
RNAcentral lists this ribosomal RNA (1372 nucleotides) under uncultured bacterium. Its description in RNAcentral is "bacterial SSU rRNA". It matches the Rfam family "Bacterial small subunit ribosomal RNA", at positions 28 to 1381 of the family's 1533-position model. The record is from RNAcentral.